Salmo salar (Atlantic salmon) is the source of this 835-nucleotide non-coding RNA. NCBI's taxonomy places the organism in Eukaryota, Metazoa, Chordata, Actinopteri, Salmoniformes, Salmonidae. The record is from RefSeq and is a predicted model, not a curated record.
AGAGUCCCUGCAUUGCAACACAUGUUCUAUGAGGAUCACCAGUCUUUGUCUGUUUGGUACAACUACAACAUGUAGCACCUCUGAGCCCAACUGCUAGAGCGGACAAGCAGUGUUCAACAUCAGUAGCAUCCUGAGCAUCACGCGCAAGGUCUGCAUGGCCACAGCUUCCUGUAACACCACAUUCACUGUUAGCAUCCUGGGAGCCGGCUACACCAUCUCACAAACCUGCUGCAGCACCAACCUGAGCAACAUGGCAGGCUGCCGGAGCCAUCCAACUAACUCUCACCGUGGUCCUUGGUGCCACCCUUCGCCUUGACAAAGUAUUCACAAUAAGGACACCUCCUCCAUUGAAGGGUGUUAUUGUAGGUUGUAGCUCUUAGAUACACAAUGUAUUGAAAAUGGUUUAUUCUGGAAAAGACUACAAUGUUUAUUCAGGCUAGUUUCACUAAGCUUUAGUUCCAAGUACCAAUUCAAACUGGUUUUACUUCCAGGGCCUAGAAUACACAACAUCCUACUACAGCAUCGGUAUGAACAGUUAAUCAAUGUAUGUAUUUUACUGUAUUAACAUUUGGAACACGCCAGAGUGACUACACUUUUUAAUGGAAUAACUUCUUCUCAACCAUGUCACUAUUAAUUAUCAUACGUAGUGAGUUUCCCCAUUGAGUAUGCUACACUGUACUCUUUUAUAAGAUAACCUUUCUAUGCAUUCUAUGUGCAAUAAAUGAUCAUACUAAAUACACUUUCAAAAAUAUCUGCUACUACGAGACACUGCAUUAUGUUUUUUUGGGUGUGUGAAAGGAUUGAACAAAUAAUAAAAUAAAGAUAUUAAAUUCCC